GGAAGAUAUGGAGAGAUUCUAGCAUGUCCACGUCACUUAAUAAAUUCCUCCAAUCACAACAUUUCAUUAAAACAUGUCAUACGGGCUUGAAAAUCUACCUAUAAGUCCAGGCUUCAUGUGUAUUUGUGUUUUUGAGUGGGCUUCGCUAUCGUUACGCCAAACGAGAGAAACCUCUACCUCUUCAUCUUCUCCGCUUGAAACCAUAGCCAUAGAGUUCUAUCGAUCCACCUUUGCACAAUCAAGACUCCACUACAUCUCGAUCAAUAAAUUUGUUUUUUUAUGGUUUCGUUUCAGCUUUAUCUUUUCCUCCUUCUUUAUAUACUCAAUUCUUCUUCAGUUUUUCAUUGCACCUCCCCUUUCUACUGCUCUUACAUAAAGCCAUAUGUGUAAAUCUAAUUGUUUCAACCAUUAAGAGGAAGAGGAGGCCGGGUGUGUACAGUCUCCAGUGAUUGGGAGAAGAGGAGUUUCCGAUCAGCCGGAACGGGAGUUUUCGAGACAACGUUAGGGUUUUUCUCCGGGACUUCACGGAGGUCAAAGAAUACAACAUCCGCGGAUCACCUGUUUGGUGUACGCUUCUAAAUCACGAGGCAAAGAACUCAGUGAUUCCUCUUCACCAUCGAAGAAGACACUGCUUUAUCCUCGGAACCUUACUGUCAUCACUGCAGAUGCACAGGUUCGUCCCCUUUGAUUUCAAUUAGGUUUGUCCACAGCUGUUGGAGUACUUUAGAUAUGUCAGAUCGAGACUUUGGCUUUUCAAUGAUUGUGGUGACCGAGCUGUACAGUUGCUAUAUGUGAAAUCAGUUCAUCCUUACAGUACGAUACUCACAAACAAGUUAUAAUCAUCAACACUCAUUUGCUCUCUCCUCAUGAUUCAGCACUGUCUAUGGUCAGGUAUUGCAGCAUGUACAAUGUUUAAUCUUAAAUCUUUGUUGUAUCAAUCCAUUCACUAUCACUGCUGUUGAUUUACAUCUUUCUGAACAAGACUUUUUGACCGGUUUACAAGAUUAACCAAGAGAGCGAUCAAAACAUUGCCAAGUUUGAUGCUUUUGAUCUGUUUGUAUAAUAAAAGUUGUUUCUUUCUUUCACAUGAUGACUUAUUUACUUAAAGUUAUAUAUUUGUUUGUGUAGCUAACGAGGGAUCCUUAAUGGUGUUAUAGUGUACUGGAAGCUCAGUUGAUUAUAUUUGUUGCUUUGAAGAUGUUGCAUGAUGCCUUCAUGAAACCAUUAAGAUUAAAAAAGUAUCUUAUUAAGGCCUUGACGUGAUAGAUUCAGUUUCUGUUUAUAUAUAAACAAUUAACUUGAACUGCUUUUCCUGUGUUGUAUGAAAUUGCAGCUCUAGAUGCUGCCAGUAAAGGGAACCGAUUGAUCCACUCUUACCUCAGAUAUCAAAGAUCAUAACUUUAUAGAUUACAUUUUACCAUAGAUUAACAAAACCCGAUUUGGUGCUGUAGAUGAGCAGUAGGGGUUUCUUCAACAAGACUUAUUGGUACUGUUGGACGCAGCAGCGGGUGUUAUCUCAGUUUCUAAUCUUUUUAUCAUAUGCAAAAAUGUAAACCUUUUUUUAAACUUCUAAUUACUUCUCUGUCUCUUUGGCACAGUGAAUGCAACUGUCUCUCCUCCAUAAAAUCUAAAGGUUAAUGUGUACUUCACUUCCAUUGCAUAUAACUGAGAUUCACUUUCCUCUUGAUUGCAGAGAGUUCGGAGUCUAUUGGCUUAUACACAUAUAUCUUUUCGGCGUCAGUGUCGUUCUCGGAGACGUCGUUUUUUGUUUGUUUGAAUGCUCUCUUUGUGAUUGAAUAUAUGUUGAGUCUAACCUAAGGAUUGCCAGAUGAGAUUGGGGCAGGCUCAGCAAGCAAUUUCUUUCUUGAGUUAUCUGAAGUUUCAUCAAGUAGUGUUUUGUCCUUUGAGCGUAAUGGAUGGUUGGGUGUCAGAGAUAAAUAGGUUCACUCCAAACUUGGAGUUCUUAGGUAUGUUGGUGAUAAGGAUUGCCGUAUGGAUUUGCGUAAGGAAUGUAUGAUCAUGUCAACAAGAGCUCUAAUGUGAGAGUGAAAGUUUUGGUCUUUCUCUAGAACUUGGGUUUUUAUCAGCUGUGUGUAAUUAUAUUUUUCCAGGAAUCUUUGUUACCAUUUUAUUUAUUUGUUGUUGACAACGUAUGAUAUAGCAUUGGUGGAUCAAGACUUACUUUCUCAGACACCUUGGUAGUAUGUUGUAAUUCAUCGAGUUGUGAACUGAAUGAGAAAUCAUAGAAUGGAGUGGGUUUACUUUCCAGACGAAAACUCUACACUUCUGUUUUGACUUCUUAUGAUACAUUUCUUCAUGAUUUACUUUCCCAACCAGACAAACCAUAGGAAUGAAUGAACAAAAACUGCUCCCCUAGAGGUGUUAAAUAUAUAAUGCUGCUCUGAUCUUAGAAAGGUGUAUGCUUUAGCUUAUUAUGUUAGAGUUUGACUGAGAGCUUGAUUACCAGUAUUGUGUGAAACUACUUGCCAGUAUAAAAUGGAAUGGGUUGAUUAUU
Molecule: long non-coding RNA, 2515 nt
Organism: Raphanus sativus (radish)
Lineage: Eukaryota; Viridiplantae; Streptophyta; Magnoliopsida; Brassicales; Brassicaceae
Exons: 6
Source: RefSeq, a predicted model, not a curated record